RNAcentral lists this unclassified non-coding RNA (281 nucleotides) under plant metagenome. Its description in RNAcentral is "partial contains small subunit ribosomal RNA, internal transcribed spacer 1, and 5.8S ribosomal RNA". The record is from RNAcentral.
UUUCCGUAGGUGAACCUGCGGAAGGAUCAUUGUCGAAGCCUGCCCAGCAGAACGACCCGCGAACUUGUAUAAACAACCGGGGGCAGGGGCGAUCUCGCCCCGUGCCCUCGAACGGCAGGGAGACACUCGUGCCUUCUUGUCGACCAACGAACCCCGGCGCGGUCUGCGCCAAGGAACUUCAAUUAAAGAGUGCCUCCGGUUGCCUCGGGAACGAUGCGCGUGUCGGAGGCGAAUCUUGUACAAAACCAUAACGACUCUCGGCAACGGAUAUCUCGGCUCUC